AUACACUACCUGGCCGGGGAGAUACCAUGAUCACGAAGGUGGUUUUCCAGGGCGAGGCUCAUCCAUUGCACUCCGGAUGUGCUGACCCCUGCCGAGUUCCCCAAACGUGGGAAGUGGGGGAGUGCGUUCACACUCUCCCCAG
RNAcentral lists this small nuclear RNA (142 nucleotides) under Aotus nancymaae (Ma's night monkey). Its description in RNAcentral is "U1 spliceosomal RNA (ENSANAG00000019803.1)". It matches the Rfam family "U1 spliceosomal RNA". Rfam says of the family: U1 is a small nuclear RNA (snRNA) component of the spliceosome (involved in pre-mRNA splicing). Its 5' end forms complementary base pairs with the 5' splice junction, thus defining the 5' donor site of an intron. The record is from Rfam by way of RNAcentral. Lineage: Eukaryota; Metazoa; Chordata; Mammalia; Primates; Aotidae.